Molecule: ribosomal RNA, 468 nt
Filed under: uncultured bacterium
Lineage: Bacteria
Description: partial 16S ribosomal RNA
Rfam family: Bacterial small subunit ribosomal RNA
Source: RNAcentral
GACGAACGCUGGCGGCGUGCUUAACACAUGCAAGUCGAACGGAAAGGCCCUGCUUUUGUGGGGUGCUCGAGUGGCGAACGGGUGAGUAACACGUGAGUAACCUGCCCUUUACUUUGGGAUAACUUCAGGAAACUGGGGCUAAUACCGGAUAGGAGCUCCUGCUGCAUGGUGGGGGUUGGAAAGUUUCGGCGGUUGGGGAUGGACUCGCGGCUUAUCAGCUUGUUGGUGGGGUAGUGGCUUACCAAGGCUUCGACGGGUAGCCGGCCUGAGAGGGUGACCGGCCACAUUGGGACUGAGAUACGGCCCAGACGCCUACGGGGGGCAGCAGUGAGGAAUAUUGCACAAUGGGCGGGAGCCUGAUGCAGCAACGCCGCGUGCGGGAUGACGGCCUUCGGGUUGUAGACCGCUUUCGCCUGUGACGAAGCGUGGGUGACGGUAAUGGGUAAAGAAGCACCGGCUAACUACGUG